UGACCCCUAGGUCUCCGAAUGGGGAAACCCGUCUGUGGAAGACACAGACAUCAUAAAGUAAAUACAUAGCUUUAUGAAGUAAGACCCUGCGAACUGAAACAUCUAAGUAGUAGGAGGAAAAGAAAGAAAACUCGAUUUUCCAAGUAGCGGCGAGCGAACAGAAACCAGCCCAACCCAGUAAGAAAUAUAUUAUCUAGUUAAAUCAUUUGGGAAGAUGAACCAAAGAAAGUGACAGUCUUGUAAACAAAAGAAAAUAUAUUGUGGGGGCAAGUAGCAGUGAACACGAGAAAUUUGCUGUGAAGAUAGGGGGACCAUCCCCUAAGGCUAAAUACUAACAUGUGACCGAUAGCGAACAAGUACCGUGAGGGAAAGGUGAAAAGAACCCCGAAAGGGGAGUGAAAUAGAACCUGAAACCUUGAGCCUACAAGCAGACAGAGGGCAACAGCCUGAUGUCGUACCUUUUGUAGAAUGGGCCAGCGAGUUAUCAUAUAUAGCAAGGUUAAAUCUUUAAGAGAUGAAGCCAAAGCGAAAGCGAGUCUUAAUAGGGCGAAAGUUAGAUAUGAUAGACCCGAAACCGGGUGAUCUAUCCAUGGUCAGAGUGAAGGUGAAGUAAAAUUCACUGGAGGCUCGAACCGGGUGCGGUUUAAAACGCAUCGGAUGAACUGUGGAUAGGGGCGAAAAACCAAACGAACCCGGAGAUAGCUGGUUCUCCUCGAAAUAGCUUUAGGGCUAGCCUAUGACCAAAGAUUUAAGGAGGUAGAGCACUGACUGGCCUAGGGCGGCUAACCGUACCAAAGCCUAUCAAACUCCGAAUGCCAAAAAAUCAAGUCAUGGAGUCAGACUUAGAGGGAUAAGCUCCUAAGUCGAAAGGGAAACAGCCCAGACCGACAGCUAAGGUCCCAAAAUCUGAAUUAAGUGGAAAAGGAUGUGAACCUACUAAGACAACCAGGACGUUGGCUUAGAAGCAGCCAUACAUUUAAAGAAUGCGUAAUAGCUCACUGGUCAAGUGGGUUUGCGCCGAAAAUAAACGGGGCUAAAAUUCAGUACCGAAGCUUCGGAUUGAUAGAGAAUUUAAA
RNAcentral lists this ribosomal RNA (1076 nucleotides) under Enterococcus faecalis. RNAcentral describes it as "partial 23S ribosomal RNA". It matches the Rfam family "Bacterial large subunit ribosomal RNA", at positions 100 to 1224 of the family's 2925-position model. Lineage: Bacteria; Bacillati; Bacillota; Bacilli; Lactobacillales; Enterococcaceae. The record is from RNAcentral.